Comamonadaceae bacterium is the source of this 2900-nucleotide ribosomal RNA. It matches the Rfam family "Bacterial large subunit ribosomal RNA". The record is from Rfam. Lineage: Bacteria; Pseudomonadati; Pseudomonadota; Betaproteobacteria; Burkholderiales; Comamonadaceae.
GGUCAAGUGAAUAAGAGCAUGUGGUGGAUGCCUUGGCGAUGAUAGGCGACGAAGGACGUGAUAGCCUGCGAUAAGCUUCGGGGAGCUGGCAAAUUAGCUUUGAUCCGGAGAUUUCCGAAUGGGGGAACCCACCCGCAAGGGUAUCGCUGUCUGAAUACAUAGGACAGCGAAGCGAACCGAGUGAACUGAAACAUCUAAGUAGCUCGAGGAAAAGACAUCAACCGAGAUUCCGAGAGUAGUGGCGAGCGAAAUCGGAGAAGCCUGCUAGUGAUAGCACGACACUUAACAGAACAGUCUGGAAAGGCUGGCCAUAGUGGGUGAAAGCCCCGUAUGUGAAAAGAGACGUGUGGUACUAAGCUAGCGACAAGUAGGGCGGGGCACGAGAAACCCUGUCUGAAUAUGGGGGGACCAUCCUCCAAGGCUAAAUACUCAUCAUCGACCGAUAGUGAACAAGUACCGUGAGGGAAAGGCGAAAAGAACCCCGGGAGGGGAGUGAAAUAGAUCCUGAAACCACAUGCUUACAAAAAGUAGGAGCCCUGAAAGGGGUGACUGCGUACCUUUUGUAUAAUGGGUCAGCGACUUACAUUCAGUGGCAAGCUUAACCGAAUAGGGAAGGCGUAGGGAAACCGAGUCCGAAUAGGGCGUAACUGGAAGGCGACUUUCAGUGUUAGUCGCUGGGUGUAGACCCGAAACCAAGUGAUCUAUCCAUGGCCAGGAUGAAGGUGCCGUAACAGGUACUGGAGGUCCGAACCCACUGGUGUUGCAAAACCAGGGGAUGAGCUGUGGAUAGGGGUGAAAGGCUAAACAAACUUGGAAAUAGCUGGUUCUCUCCGAAAACUAUUUAGGUAGUGCCUCAAGUAUUACCGUCGGGGGUAGAGCACUGUUUAGGCUAGGGGGUCAUGGCGACUUACCAAACCUAUGCAAACUCCGAAUACCGACGAGUACAGCUUGGGAGACAGAGCACCGGGUGCUAACGUCCGGACUCAAGAGGGAAACAACCCAGACCGCCAGCUAAGGUCCCUAAAAUUGGCUAAGUGGGAAACGAAGUGGGAAGGCUAUAACAGUCAGGAUGUUGGCUUAGAAGCAGCCAUCAUUUAAAGAAAGCGUAAUAGCUCACUGAUCGAGUCGUCCUGCGCGGAAGAUGUAACGGGGCUCAAGCCAGUUACCGAAGCUGCGGAUGCACAGUUUACUGUGCGUGGUAGGAGAGCGUUCUGUAAGCCGUUGAAGGUGGGUUGUGAAGCCUGCUGGAGGUAUCAGAAGUGCGAAUGCUGACAUGAGUAGCGUUAAAGCGGGUGAAAAGCCCGCUCGCCGUAAGCGCAAGGUUUCCUACGCAACGUUCAUCGGCGUAGGGUGAGUCGGCCCCUAAGGCGAGGCAGAGAUGCGUAGCUGAUGGGAAACAGGUCAAUAUUCCUGUACCGACUGCAAGUGCGAUGUGGGGACGGAUCUUAAUAGGUUAUCCGGGUGUUGGAAGUCCCGGUUUAGACAGAUGUAGGCGAUACGUAGGCAAAUCCGCGUGUCAUAUACCGAGGCUGUCGAUCGAGCGAACUUGUUCGUGAAGUAACCAAACGGGGUCCCAGGAAAAGCCACUAAGCUUCAGCUUGCAGUUGACCGUACCGCAAACCGACACUGGUGCGCGAGAUGAGUAUUCUCAGGCGCUUGAGAGAACUCGGGAGAAGGAACUCGGCAAAUUGACACCGUAACUUCGGAAGAAGGUGUGCCCUUGUAGUGUGUAGAGAACAUCGAAGCACGAAGGGGUUGCAAAAAAUUGGUGGCUGCGACUGUUUACUAAAAACACAGCACUCUGCAAACACGAAAGUGGACGUAUAGGGUGUGACGCCUGCCCGGUGCCGGAAGAUUAAUUGAUGGGGUGCAAGCUCUUGAUCGAAGUCCCGGUAAACGGCGGCCGUAACUAUAACGGUCCUAAGGUAGCGAAAUUCCUUGUCGGGUAAGUUCCGACCUGCACGAAUGGCGUAACGAUGGCCACGCUGUCUCCUCCCGAGACUCAGCGAAGUUGAAAUGUUUGUGAUGAUGCAAUCUCCCCGCGGAAAGACGGAAAGACCCCAUGAACCUUUACUGUAGCUUUGUAUUGGAUUUUGAACGGAUCUGUGUAGGAUAGGUGGGAGGCUUUGAAGGGCGGAUGCUAGUUCGCCUGGAGCCAACGUUGAAAUACCACCCUGGUGCGUUUGAGGUUCUAACCUUGGUCCCUGAAUCGGGACUGGGGACAGUGCAUGGUAGGCAGUUUGACUGGGGCGGUCUCCUCCCAAAGCGUAACGGAGGAGUUCGAAGGUACGCUAGGCACGGUCGGACAUCGUGCUAAUAGUGCAAUGGCAUAAGCGUGCUUAACUGCGAGACUGACAAGUCGAGCAGAUGCGAAAGCAGGACAUAGUGAUCCGGUGGUUCUGUAUGGAAGGGCCAUCGCUCAACGGAUAAAAGGUACUCUGGGGAUAACAGGCUGAUACCGCCCAAGAGUUCAUAUCGACGGCGGUGUUUGGCACCUCGAUGUCGGCUCAUCUCAUCCUGGGGCUGUAGCCGGUCCCAAGGGUAUGGCUGUUCGCCAUUUAAAGAGGUACGUGAGCUGGGUUUAAAACGUCGUGAGACAGUUUGGUCCCUAUCUUCCGUGGGCGCUGCAGAUUUGAGGAAGCCUGCUCCUAGUACGAGAGGACCGGAGUGGACGCACCUCUGGUGUACCGGUUGUCACGCCAGUGGCAUCGCCGGGUAGCUAUGUGCGGAAGAGAUAACCGCUGAAAGCAUCUAAGCGGGAAACUCGUUCCAAGAUGAGAUCUGCCGGGGCCUUGAGCCCCCUGAAGGGUCGUCGAAGACUACGACGUUGAUAGGCAGGGUGUGUAAGCGCAGCAAUGCGUUGAGCUAACCUGUACUAAUUGCCCGUGCGGCUUGACCCU